RNAcentral lists this transfer RNA (69 nucleotides) under Physoderes impexa. RNAcentral's name for it is "tRNA-Met". Lineage: Eukaryota; Metazoa; Arthropoda; Insecta; Hemiptera; Reduviidae. The record is from RNAcentral.
AAAAAGAUAAGCUAAAUUUUAAGCUAUUAGGCCCAUACCCUAAACAUAGAAGUAACCUUCUUCUUUUUA